RNAcentral lists this ribosomal RNA (455 nucleotides) under Salmonella enterica subsp. enterica serovar Virginia. Its description in RNAcentral is "partial 23S ribosomal RNA". It matches the Rfam family "Bacterial large subunit ribosomal RNA", at positions 758 to 1211 of the family's 2925-position model. RNAcentral also lists the same sequence under 1 other name. The record is from RNAcentral. Lineage: Bacteria; Pseudomonadati; Pseudomonadota; Gammaproteobacteria; Enterobacterales; Enterobacteriaceae.
AACACUAACUGGAGGACCGAACCGACUAAUGUUGAAAAAUUAGCGGAUGACCUGUGGCUGGGGGUGAAAGGCCAAUCAAACCGGGAGAUAGCUGGUUCUCCCCGAAAGCUAUUUAGGUAGCGCCUCGUGAAUUCAUCUCCGGGGGUAGAGCACUGUUUCGGCUAGGGGGCCAUCCCGGCUUACCAACCCGAUGCAAACUGCGAAUACCGGAGAAUGUUAUCACGGGAGACACACGGCGGGUGCUAACGUCCGUCGUGAAGAGGGAAACAACCCAGACCGCCAGCUAAGGUCCCAAAGUCAUGGUUAAGUGGGAAACGAUGUGGGAAGGCCCAGACAGCCAGGAUGUUGGCUUAGAAGCAGCCAUCAUUUAAAGAAAGCGUAAUAGCUCACUGGUCGAGUCGGCCUGCGCGGAAGAUGUAACGGGGCUAAACCAUGCACCGAAGCUGCGGCAGCGA